Long non-coding RNA from Bombyx mori (domestic silkworm), 1287 nucleotides. RefSeq lists it as uncharacterized. The record is from RefSeq and is a predicted model, not a curated record. The transcript is spliced from 2 exons. Lineage: Eukaryota; Metazoa; Arthropoda; Insecta; Lepidoptera; Bombycidae.
GAAAGCGGACUAAUCUUAAAUUGAAACAUGAAUUAUCAUAAAUACUCUUGCUAGUGUUUGUUUUAUGUCAAACCAUAUUUUGAAAUUGACAUCAAAUUUUAUGAAUUAAUUUAUGUUGGCUAAAUGAUAUGAAAAAGGCGGAUUUUGGAGCAAAAAUGCUAAACAGUAAGUUAUAUGAGAGAAAAUAACCCUCUAAUUAGUGACUCCGUAUCACUAUCAAGUCUUCGUGGCCUAAAAGAGAAGACGACCGGUACAAUCGUGUAUAUAAGGUAGGGACAUGAUCCCAUUUCUAUAGAAAUUUUGGGGCUUCUGAUCAAAAUACCGCGACAAUUGGUUUUGGCAGUCCUCUCAUGAUGUUAACCUGACACUGCCUAAAGAAUUCUGAAGAGAUCGAAACAGGUGGAAAUCUGCGAUGGUGGAAGUCUGAAGGUGCAAUGUCAGGACUAUACGACGGAUGCAUUAACUCUUUCCAGCCAAGCUCUCUUAAUUUUUGCUGAGUGACUAAACAUGUGUGAGGUCAUGCGUUAUCAUGAUGAAAAACCACACCCCUUGUGUUGAUUAAUUCCGGCCGCUUUCUCUCCACUUCUUGCUUUAAACUUAUCAGUUGUUCGCAGUAGAGCUCAGAAUCGAUGGUCCUGCCUGGUGGUAACAGCUCACAUUGAAUAAUGCUUGCCCAAUUCCACCACACACACAGCAUCACCUUGUUGCGAGUUAACACGGGCUUCGCCAGUCUGUGAAGCCUGACCUGCCUUUGACCACGAUCUUUUUCGCACGUUCAUGUCGUACGUGAUCCACUUUUCAUCACCAGUAAUCAGCUUCUUCAAAAAUGGUUCGGUUUCAUUACGUCGUAAUAAAGAAUUACAAAUGUGUACACGGUUCAUCAGAUUUCUUUCAGUGAGCUCGUGAGGUGCCCAAAUAUCGAGCUUUUUUGUGUACCCAGUUUUUUUCAAAUGCGCUAAAACUCUUUUGUGGUCAAUUCCCAGUUCUUUAGCUACGUCGUAAGUACUGAUAUGCCGAUCUUGCUCCACUUUUAAAAAAAUGGCAUCCAUUUUAUCCUUAAUAGGGCGACCAGAGCGACGUGCAUCUUUGAUAUUAAAAUUUCCGGAUUGAAAACACUUAAACCGAAUUUGUGCUACUUUCACAGACACUGCACUAAGUCUAUAAACAUCGCAUUCUUUUUUACCUUUUUUGUAGUAAAAUUUUAAAAUGUAUCGAAUUUCUUCAUUAGAUUCACUCAUCUUAACAGUAUGAAAAAUGAAUAAAAAUCACACAUUUUCCUAAUUUGAA